GCCAGGCAUGGUGGCUCAUGCCUGUAAUCCCAGCACUUUGGGAGGCCGAGGUGGGUGGAUCACUUGAGGUCAGGAGUUCAAGACCAGCCUGGCCAACAUGGUGAAACCCCAUCUCUA
Molecule: non-coding RNA, 117 nt
Filed under: Nomascus leucogenys (northern white-cheeked gibbon)
Lineage: Eukaryota; Metazoa; Chordata; Mammalia; Primates; Hylobatidae
Source: Rfam by way of RNAcentral